RNAcentral lists this ribosomal RNA (424 nucleotides) under uncultured cyanobacterium. RNAcentral describes it as "bacterial SSU rRNA". It matches the Rfam family "Bacterial small subunit ribosomal RNA", at positions 356 to 795 of the family's 1533-position model. The record is from RNAcentral. Lineage: Bacteria; Bacillati; Cyanobacteriota.
GGGGAAUUUUCCGCAAUGGGCGAAAGCCUGACGGAGCAACGCCGCGUGAGGGAUGAAGGCCUCUGGGCUGUAAACCUCUUUUCUCAAGGAAGAAGAUCUGACGGUACUUGAGGAAUAAGCCACGGCUAAUUCCGUGCCAGCAGCCGCGGUAAUACUGGAGUGGCAAGCGUUAUCCGGAAUUAUUGGGCGUAAAGCGUCCGCAGGCGGUCUUGUAAGUCUGUCGUUAAAGCGUGGAGCUUAACUCCAUUUCAGCGAUGGAAACUGCAAGACUAGAGUGUGGUANNNNCAGAGGGAAUUCCCGGUGUAGCGGUGAAAUGCGUAGAUAUCGGGAAGAACACCAGUGGCGAAGGCGCUCUGCUGGGCCAUAACUGACGCUCAUGGACGAAAGCCAGGGGAGCGAAAGGGAUUAGAUACCCCUGUAGUC